UGAGGAAUAUUGGUCAAUGGACGCAAGUCUGAACCAGCCAAGUAGCGUGCAGGAUGACGGCCCUAUGGGUUGUAAACUGCUUUUAUAUGGGGAUAAAGUGGGGAACGUGUUCCCUUUUGCAGGUACCAUAUGAAUAAGGACCGGCUAAUUCCGUGCCAGCAGCCGCGGUAAUACGGAAGGUUCGGGCGUUAUCCGGAUUUAUUGGGUUUAAAGGGAGCGUAGGCCGUUUGGUAAGCGUGUUGUGAAAUGUAGGAGCUCAACUUCUAGAUUGCAGCGCGAACUGUCAGACUUGAGUGCGCACAACGUAGGCGGAAUUCAUGGUGUAGUGGUGAAAUGCUUAGAUAUCAUGACGAACUCCGAUUGCGCAGGCAGCUUACUGUAGCAUAACUGACGCUGAUGCUCGAAAGUGCGGGUAUCAAACAGG
RNAcentral lists this ribosomal RNA (424 nucleotides) under Verrucomicrobiota bacterium. RNAcentral describes it as "Verrucomicrobia bacterium partial 16S ribosomal RNA". It matches the Rfam family "Bacterial small subunit ribosomal RNA", at positions 355 to 776 of the family's 1533-position model. The record is from RNAcentral. Lineage: Bacteria; Pseudomonadati; Verrucomicrobiota.